GCAUGCUACACAUGCAGUCGAGGGGCUCUUCGGAGUCACUGGCGCACGGGUGAGUAACACGUAGGUCAUCUGCCCCUAUCACAGACAUAACCCCGGGAAACCGGGGCUAAUAUCUGAUGAGGUCGCGAGAUCAAAGCUUAGGCGGAUAGGGAUGAGCCUGCGGCUGAUUAGCUAGUUGGUGAGGUAAUGGCUCACCAAGGCGACGAUCAGUAGCUGGUCUGAGAGGACGAACAGCCACACUGGAACUGAGACACGGUCCAGACUCCUACGGGAGGCAGCAGUGAGGAAUAUUGGUCAAUGGGAGCAAUCCUGAACCAGCAAUGCCGCGUGUGGGAUGAAGGCGCUUCGCGUCGUAAACCACUGUCGGACGGGACGAAAAGAGCUAUAAAGCUCCGAGACGGUACCGUCAAAGGAAGGAUCGGCUAACUACGUGCCAGCAGCCGCGGUAAUACGUAGGAUCCAAGCGUUGUCCGGAUUUACUGGGUAUAAAGGGUGCGUAGGCGGUCUUGUGCGUCAGAGGUGAAAUAUCCGGGCUUAACCCGGAGGGUGCCUUUGAUACGGCAGGACUUGAGUACGAGAGAGGAUGAUGGAAUUCCUGGUGUAGCGGUGAAAUGCGUAGAUAUCAGGAGGAACACCGGUGGCGAAGGCGGUCAUCUGGCUCGUAACUGACGCUGAGGCACGAAAGCGUGGGGAUCAAACAGGAUUAGAUACCCUGGUAGUCCACGCCCUAAACGAUGUAUGCUUGGUGUUGGGUCCGCAAGGACUCAGUGCCGUAGGAAAUCUGAUAAGCAUACCACCUG
Molecule: ribosomal RNA, 800 nt
Filed under: uncultured bacterium
Lineage: Bacteria
Description: bacterial SSU rRNA
Rfam family: Bacterial small subunit ribosomal RNA
Source: RNAcentral